GGUCCGACACCGCCGAAUCGCUCGCGAGCGAACCGGGGAACCAGGUAACCCGGGGUGAAUCCGCAGCCACUGCGGUAGGGCGUCCCCUUCCCGCCCGAACCCGUCAGCUAACCCGGUAGGCGGUCUGGGAAGAAGGA
Molecule: small RNA, 137 nt
Filed under: Micromonospora echinaurantiaca
Lineage: Bacteria; Bacillati; Actinomycetota; Actinomycetes; Micromonosporales; Micromonosporaceae
Description: c-di-AMP sequence
Rfam family: c-di-AMP riboswitch aptamer (ydaO/yuaA leader)
About the family: This family represents a conserved RNA structure found upstream of the ydaO and yuaA genes in Bacillus subtilis and related genes in other bacteria. The ydaO/yuaA element is thought to act as a genetic "off" switch for the ydaO and yuaA genes in its native state. It is believed that the element may be triggered during osmotic shock leading to activation of ydaO, a predicted amino acid transporter gene, and members of the yuaA-yubG operon which code for KtrA and KtrB K+ transporters.
Source: Rfam by way of RNAcentral